AGGGAUCUAUUACCGAGUUAUCCAACUCCCAACCCCUGUGAAUUAUACCUUUAAUUGUUGCUUCGGCGGGACUUCGCGCCCGCCGGGGACCCAAACCUUCUGAAUUUUUUAAUAAGUAUCUUCUGAGUGGUUUAAAAAAAAAAUGAAUCAAAACUUUCAACAACGGAUCUCUUGGUUCUGGCAUCGAUGAAGAACGCAGCGAAAUGCGAUAAGUAAUGUGAAUUGCAGAAUUCAGUGAAUCAUCGAAUCUUUGAACGCACAUUGCGCCCGUCAGUAUUCUGGCGGGCAUGCCUGUUCGAGCGUCAUUACGCCCCUCAAGUCCCCUGUGGACUUGGUGUUGGGGAUCGGCGAGGCUGGUUUUCCAGCACAGCCGUCCCUUAAAUUAAUUGGCGGUCUCGCCGUGGCCCUCCUCUGCGCAGUAGUAAAGCACUCGCAACAGGAGCCCGGCGCGGUCCACUGCCGUAAAACCCCCCAACUUUUUAUAGUUGACCUCGAAUCAGGUAGGACUACCCGCUUGAACUUAAGCAUAUCAAAAAGC
Molecule: ribosomal RNA, 538 nt
Filed under: Metarhizium anisopliae
Lineage: Eukaryota; Fungi; Ascomycota; Sordariomycetes; Hypocreales; Clavicipitaceae
Description: eukaryotic LSU rRNA
Rfam family: 5.8S ribosomal RNA (bases 152-305)
Source: RNAcentral